Molecule: long non-coding RNA, 442 nt
Organism: Fundulus heteroclitus (mummichog)
Lineage: Eukaryota; Metazoa; Chordata; Actinopteri; Cyprinodontiformes; Fundulidae
Exons: 3
Source: RefSeq, a predicted model, not a curated record
AAGACCUGGUUCUGGGAACACUGGUGAAAGAUCUGAAAGAUCUCCAGAACAAUGUCAGCAGUUUCUGCGGAGGAAAUUCAGAUGGCUGUUACUAAAGCCCUUCCUGGACUUCCUCAAGUGAAGAUGGAGAAGCUGGUGGAGAGGCUUGUUAGCUGGGGGGUAGAAACCAUUGAGGAUCUAAAAUACGUUGAAGGAGCUCCUGGAGCAGACCUGUCACAUGUUCUUCCUCCCAAACUGCUUGACAACUUCAAGACAGCUGGGGAAAAAAUGCGUGUGACAAUAUUCCACUAAGAAGUCCACCUUCAUCCUCCACUGGUUUGGACAUUGUGAAUCCACCAACCUCUUCAUCAGCUCCUUCAAGUUGGCCAGAGACAUUUCAGAUUCCCUGGGACCAAAUGCCAAAUGAUGUGUGAACUGCAGUAGCAAGUGGGAAAAGACCACU